GACGAACGCUGGCGGCGCGCCUAACACAUGCAAGUCGAACGAGCGAGAGAGAGCUUGCUUUCUUGAGCGAGUGGCGAACGGGUGAGUAACGCGUGAGGAACCUGCCUCAAAGAGGGGGACAACAGUUGGAAACGACUGCUAAUACCGCAUAAGCACACGGUGCCGCAUGGCACAGAGGGAAAAGGAGCAAUCCGCUUUGAGAUGGCCUCGCGUCCGAUUAGCUAGUUGGUGAGGUAACGGCCCACCAAGGCGACGAUCGGUAGCCGGACUGAGAGGUUGAACGGCCACAUUGGGACUGAGACACGGCCCAGACUCCUACGGGAGGCAGCAGUUGGGAAUAUUGCACAAUGGGGGAAACCCGGAUGCAGCGGCGCCGCGUGGAGGAAGAAGGUCUUCGGAUUGUAAGCUCCUGUUGUUGGGGAAGAAAAUGACGGUACCCAACAAGGAAGUGACGGCUAACUACGUG
RNAcentral lists this ribosomal RNA (466 nucleotides) under uncultured bacterium. RNAcentral's name for it is "partial 16S ribosomal RNA". It matches the Rfam family "Bacterial small subunit ribosomal RNA", at positions 28 to 507 of the family's 1533-position model. The record is from RNAcentral.